This 460-nucleotide ribosomal RNA is filed under the name uncultured bacterium. RNAcentral's name for it is "partial 16S ribosomal RNA". It matches the Rfam family "Bacterial small subunit ribosomal RNA", at positions 338 to 795 of the family's 1533-position model. The record is from RNAcentral.
CCUACGGGGGGCAGCAGUGAGGAAUAUUGGUCACUGGACGCAAGUCUGAACCAGCCAUGCCGCGUGCAGGAAGACGGCUCUAUGAGUUGUAAACUGCUUUUGUACGAGGGUAAAUCCCGAUACGUGUAUCGGGUUGAAAGUAUCGUACGAAUAAGGAUCGGCUAACUCCGUGCCAGCAGCCGCGGUAAUACGGAGGAUUCAAGCGUUAUCCGGAUUUAUUGGGGUUAAAGGGUGCGUAGGCGGUUCGAUAAGUCAGAGGUGAAAGCCCGGGGCUCAACGCCGGCACUGCCUCUGAUACUGUCGGGCUAGAGUUUAGUUGCGGUAGGCGGAAUGUAUGGUGUAGCGGUGAAAUGCAUAGAGAUCAUACAGAACACCGAUUGCGAAGGCAGCUUACCAAACUACGACUGACGUUGAGGCACGAAAGCGUGGGGAGCAAACAGGAUUAGAUACCCGUGUAGUC